CUACGGGAGGCAGCAGUGGGGAAUUUUGCGCAAUGGGCGAAAGCCUGACGCAGCGACGCCGCGUGGAGGAUGAAGGUUUUCGGAUUGUAAACUCCUUUUGUAGGGGAAGAUAAUGACGGUACCCUAUGAAUAAGCCACGGCUAACUCUGUGCCAGCAGCCGCGGUAAGACAGAGGUGGCAAGCGUUGUUCGGAAUUACUGGGCUUAAAGGGCGCGUAGGUGGUGGCAUAAGUCCGAGGUGGAAGACUACAGCUUAACUGUAGAAUUGCCUUGGAAACUGUAUCACUUGAGUCAGCGAGGGGAUGGCGGAAUUCCAGGUGUAGCGGUGAAAUGCGUAGAUAUCUGGAGGAAGGCCGGUGGCGAAGGCGGCCAUCUGGCGCUGAACUGACACUGAGGCGCGAAAGCGUGGGGAGCAAACAGGAUUAGAUACCCCGGU
This 435-nucleotide ribosomal RNA is filed under the name uncultured bacterium. RNAcentral describes it as "bacterial SSU rRNA". It matches the Rfam family "Bacterial small subunit ribosomal RNA", at positions 339 to 791 of the family's 1533-position model. The record is from RNAcentral.